Molecule: ribosomal RNA, 621 nt
Filed under: uncultured bacterium
Lineage: Bacteria
Description: bacterial SSU rRNA
Rfam family: Bacterial small subunit ribosomal RNA
Source: RNAcentral
AGAGUUUGAUUAUGGCUCAGGAUGAACGCUAGCGGCAGGCUUAACACAUGCAAGUCGGGCGGCAGCGGGGUGGGAGCUUGCUCCCACUGCCGGCGAGCGGCGCACGGGUGAGUAACACGUAUGCAACCUGCCCCUGUCAGGGGGACAACCCGCCGAAAGGCGGGCUAAGCCCGCGUAUAUCGCCCCGGGGCAUCCCGGGGGGAGGAAAGGAGCGAUCCGGACAGGGAUGGGCAUGCGGCGCAUUAGCUGGUCGGCGGGGUAACGGCCCACCGAGGCGACGAUGCGUAGGGGUUCUGAGAGGAAGGCCCCCCACACUGGUACUGAGACACGGACCAGACUCCUACGGGAGGCAGCAGUGAGGAAUAUUGGUCAAUGGGCGGGAGCCUGAACCAGCCAAGCCGCGUGAGGGAAGAAGGUACAGCGUAUCGUAAACCUCUUUUGUCAGGGAACAAAGGCGGGGACUAGUCCCCGGAUGAGGGUACCUGAAGAAAAAGCAUCGGCUAACUCCGUGCCAGCAGCCGCGGUAAUACGGAGGAUGCGAGCGUUAUCCGGAUUUAUUGGGUUUAAAGGGUGCGCAGGCGGCCUGUUAAGUCAGCGGUAAAAGCCCGGGGCUCAACCCCG